This 66-nucleotide transfer RNA is filed under the name Hackeriella veitchi. RNAcentral's name for it is "tRNA-Glu". It matches the Rfam family "tRNA". From Rfam's summary of the family: Transfer RNA (tRNA) molecules are approximately 80 nucleotides in length. Their secondary structure includes four short double-helical elements and three loops (D, anti-codon, and T loops). Lineage: Eukaryota; Metazoa; Arthropoda; Insecta; Hemiptera; Peloridiidae. The record is from RNAcentral.
AUUAAGUUAGUUUAAAUAAAACAUCUUAUUUUCAAUAAGAAAACAAGAUUUUAUUCUUACUUAAUA